AUUGAACGCUGGCGGCAUGCCUUACACAUGCAAGUCGAACGGCAGCGCGGGGCAACCUGGCGGCGAGUGGCGAACGGGUGAGUAAUAUAUCGGAACAUACCCUAGAGUGGGGGAUAACGUAGCGAAAGUUACGCUAAUACCGCAUACGCACUAAGGUGGAAAGUGGGGGAUCUUCGGACCUCAUGCUCAUGGAGUGGCCGAUAUCUGAUUAGCUAGUUGGUGAGGUAAAGGCUCACCAAGGCGACGAUCAGUAGCUGGUUUGAGAGAACGACCAGCCACACUGGAACUGAGACACGGUCCAGACUCCUACGGGAGGCAGCAGUGGGGAAUUUUGGACAAUGGGGGCAACCCUGAUCCAGCAAUGCCGCGUGAGUG
Molecule: ribosomal RNA, 375 nt
Filed under: uncultured bacterium
Lineage: Bacteria
Description: bacterial SSU rRNA
Rfam family: Bacterial small subunit ribosomal RNA
Source: RNAcentral